This 862-nucleotide long non-coding RNA is filed under the name Homo sapiens (human). Its description in RNAcentral is "HSALNT0382888". Lineage: Eukaryota; Metazoa; Chordata; Mammalia; Primates; Hominidae. The record is from RNAcentral.
GCUUGAAAAGUGCCUACCCCUGGCCUGGGAUGCUUCCUCCUGGGAUGCUCCCACUUGGAACCCAACUAUUGUGCUGCAGAAGUUUAACUUAACUGUGUAAGGAGGCCAAGAGGAGGCCCUGGCUGCCAGCCAGCAUCAACUUCCAGUGACGUGAGUGUGCCAUUCUGGAACUGGAUCCUGCAGCCUCGGUGGAGCAGCCUCAGCUGAUGCCAUGUGGAACAGAGAUGAACUGCCGCUGCCGAGCUCUGCCCACGUUGCAGAAUCAUGAGCAAAUAUGUUGUGGAUUGGCUGUAACUCUGCUCUGGGAUCCAGGCUGAAGGAGCAGGCUCUAUCUGGAACAUUACUAGUCUCCAGGCAGAAGAAAAAGAGACAAUGGAAUGGAUGAUUGAAUGGAUGAAUGAACUCCACAGGAAGAUGAGGAAAGCCUUUAUGGAUGGAGUGAGCUUGCAGCAGAGUCUCAAAGGGCCUACCUGGAAUGCCAUGCUCCCUCACCGCCAAUGCUGCCCUACCAAAUUCAGCCCAUAGACCUUCAAAAACCAAUUCAAAUCUCCAAGAAUCCAAGUCAGAAGAAAUUGCUGCCUCCUCUGAAUAAUUAUUGCUGACACUGAUUGCACUCUGUGCUUAUUGCUCAGUCCUUUGAGUUAUCUCGUCAAUAUUUCCCAUUUGUCCUAUAUCCAUCCCCACCUAGGAAUGAAUGGGACUUCAUGAUUCUGUCUUUCUAGUAUUAGAUGUCUUGCUCAGUAAAAAAUGUUUACUGUCUUGUAAAUUAAUUUAAAUAUAUGGUAAAAUAAUAUAGGGGUCUCUGGAAAGAUGGAAAUUGUUUGUUAUUGUUUUUGAGACGGAGUCUCACUCUGUUGCCCAG